This 253-nucleotide ribosomal RNA is filed under the name uncultured bacterium. RNAcentral describes it as "partial 16S ribosomal RNA". It matches the Rfam family "Bacterial small subunit ribosomal RNA", at positions 524 to 776 of the family's 1533-position model. The record is from RNAcentral.
UACGUAGGUGGCAAGCGUUGUCCGGAUUUAUUGGGUUUAAAGGGUGCGUAGGCGGUCCUGUAAGUCAGUGGUGAAAUACGGCAGCUCAACUGUCGAGGUGCCAUUGAUACUGCGGGACUUGAGUACAGACGAGGUAGGCGGAAUUGACGGUGUAGCGGUGAAAUGCUUAGAUAUCGUCAAGAACACCGAUAGCGAAGGCAGCUUACUAGACUGUAACUGACGCUGAGGCACGAAGGUGCGGGGAUCAAACAGG